Long non-coding RNA from Rhipicephalus microplus (southern cattle tick), 236 nucleotides. The record is from RefSeq and is a predicted model, not a curated record. Lineage: Eukaryota; Metazoa; Arthropoda; Arachnida; Ixodida; Ixodidae.
AGGCUUUUCAUUCAGUCGGUAUCCACACGAGGCAGAAGGCAGUGCAGAUCGCCCGUGAAUACAGGGACUGCCUCGCGGAAAGGCCAUCCGACUAAGAAAAGACGGCCGAAAAGAACAAUUGGAGAGGAGAUGACACUCUCUGUGGGGUCUAAAAGAGUCACUCCAGAACAAGCGGACAUGGUGGACGCCGUCAGGCUGUAAACACCUCGACAUUUAUUAAACGCUUUUAAAUCACG